Molecule: ribosomal RNA, 555 nt
Filed under: Triticum aestivum (bread wheat)
Lineage: Eukaryota; Viridiplantae; Streptophyta; Magnoliopsida; Poales; Poaceae
Description: partial small subunit ribosomal RNA
Source: RNAcentral
AUGGAUUCCAUCAUGGCUAACGGGACAUGGGAGAUCACUGACCGUCCCUAUGGUUGCAAACCACUAGGAUGUAAGUGGGUGUUCAAAAAUAAGCUUAGGCCCGAUGGUUUCGUUGUUAAUGAGGCUGACAAAUGUGUAUACUAUCGCCAUGGUGGGGGCGAAGGAGUUAUACUGUGCUUGUAUGUUGAUGACAUACUGAUAUUCGGAACAAACCUCAAAGUCAUUGAGGAGGUCAAAUCGUUUCUAUCUCAGAACUUUGAGAUGAAAGACCUUGGUGUGGCUGAUGUUAUCUUGAACAUCAAGCUACUGAGAGAUAAUGAGGGUGGGAUCACACUUCUGCAAUCCCAUUACGUUGAGAAGGUGUUGAGUCGUUUUGGAUAUUCGGACUGUACUAUGAACUAUGGACUUCACUAUACCGGAUACCCGUCGGUACUUGAAGGGUAUAGUGAUGCGAAUUGGAUCUCUGAUGCUGAUGAGAUGAAGGCCACAACUGGGUUAUGUUUACUCUUGGAGGUGGCGCUGUUUCCUGGAAGUCUUGCAAGCAAACGAUCUUAA